AUAUAUUGGUGAAAUUAAUGCCGUCAAAGGCAGUGGGCCAAAAUAUAAAGGGCCUGUCCACCUGGUUUUAGGAACACACACCGAAGGAAGAUUUUGUGAGAAAUACCUCCCAUUGCAAAUAUCUUCCUCCAUUCCUAGUCUUUCACUACAAAUGCAUAGUUAGCAUCGGACGAAUAUCUUCUCGGUUCAUACCAUAAACUGAUAUAUGAAUUUAUUAUAAACAAAAAACAAAACAAAAAGGAAAAGCAAAAACCACAGGAAAAAGAAUCAUACAGAAUAGAAGAAAGAAAGAAAGAAAGAAAGAAAGAAGUAUUAACAGGACAACUUCAACCUAAAAAGUGUAUAGAAACAAACAGGCCAAAGACUGCCAGUAACUAAAAGACCUUUGCCCAACGUUUAACUUCCCAAACACCGGAGAACUAUCAAAGGUAAAGGCUCAGGCCAAGAGAACCAGAAACUUUUUCACUGUACAGUUACCGUUUCUCGCCGUUAAUCUGAGGAUGAAUUUGAUUCCUGCUUCGCUGAUCAUGUUGUGCUGUGCUGUUCUUCUUUGCCAAAGUAUGCGGUUUCGCGGGACACAAACCAUGCAGCAUGUUCCACUGGAAAUAGACGGAAAUAGACAAAGAAGCAUCGAGGAUGAUUACGAUGCGUCUCGUAUGCGUCAGUUGCUCACGAACUUGAAGCUCCAAAGAAUGUUGAGAAAACGUGCUGGCGUGGCAUACAACAGCGAUUAUUUGCUUCUCUUAGAUAAAAUGAAAAACAUAGUUGAUAAACAGCAGUCUGAUGCAUGGAACAGUAAACUCAAAGACCUUGGUAAAUAGUUCUGAGAUUUUCAUAAGACGAAUAAGACCGGUUCUCUAACAAUAUACUGUAAACUUAAAUAUUGCCAAUUUUGUUGAAUGGGAAAAUAAAGGAAAUAUGCAUAAACAUGUA
This is a long non-coding RNA of Octopus sinensis (East Asian common octopus), 933 nucleotides long. RefSeq lists it as uncharacterized. The record is from RefSeq and is a predicted model, not a curated record. The transcript is spliced from 3 exons. Lineage: Eukaryota; Metazoa; Mollusca; Cephalopoda; Octopoda; Octopodidae.